Pelmatolapia mariae (spotted tilapia) is the source of this 212-nucleotide long non-coding RNA. RefSeq lists it as uncharacterized. NCBI's taxonomy places the organism in Eukaryota, Metazoa, Chordata, Actinopteri, Cichliformes, Cichlidae. The transcript is spliced from 3 exons. The record is from RefSeq and is a predicted model, not a curated record.
CACGUGACUGCUAUCGAGGUGCAUCAUGGGGAAUUGGCGUUUAACGACAUGCUCACUUUACUUGGAUGUUUUCUAAUCGUCUUCUUUAGAAUAUGCUUUCAAGGUCUGUGAAGCCAAACUUGAUGCUGGGAAUUUAUUUUUGUCAGUGGAGUCAAAUGGUUGAAGCAGAAUUUGCCCGUCUUACAUCUGUUGACCUGAAAGGGUUCCUUUUU